GGGACCUGCAAUCGUCCACAAAAUAUUUGAGACAAACCCCCUCCCCCGAUUUCAAUGUUGUUAGGCACUACAAUAUAGUUUAAUUCCAACAUCAUAUGUUAAAUUUCAACUGCCAGUGACACAGCUGCGGUGCUAGUGCCAUCUUAUGUUCGUUUUGGAUAAGUACAGUAGGCUUCAACAUUGAAAUAAGGGGGGAGGGGAUUGAUUUAAAAAGUCUCAAUAUAUUUUGUGGACGAUUGUCUUAAA
Paramuricea clavata is the source of this 246-nucleotide non-coding RNA. The record is from the annotation of a GenBank genome assembly. Lineage: Eukaryota; Metazoa; Cnidaria; Anthozoa; Malacalcyonacea; Plexauridae.